CAGCAGUCGCCGCGGUAAUACGUAGGGUGCAAGCGUUAAUCGGAAUUACUGGGCGUAAAGCGUGCGCAGGCGGUUAUAUAAGACAGAUGUGAAAUCCCCGGGCUCAACCUGGGAACUGCAUUUGUGACUGUAUAGCUAGAGUACGGCAGAGGGGGAUGGAAUUCCGCGUGUAGCAGUGAAAUGCGUAGAUAUGCGGAGGAACACCGAUGGCGAAGGCAAUCCCCUGGGCCUGUACUGACGCUCAUGCACGAAAGCGUGGGGAGCAAACAGGAUUAGAUACCCCAGUAGUCCCUGUCUCUUAUAC
RNAcentral lists this ribosomal RNA (304 nucleotides) under uncultured bacterium. RNAcentral describes it as "partial 16S ribosomal RNA". It matches the Rfam family "Bacterial small subunit ribosomal RNA", at positions 509 to 807 of the family's 1533-position model. The record is from RNAcentral.